Molecule: non-coding RNA, 2807 nt
Organism: Meleagris gallopavo (turkey)
Lineage: Eukaryota; Metazoa; Chordata; Aves; Galliformes; Phasianidae
Source: RefSeq, a predicted model, not a curated record
AUAAAAGUAAUUUUGUAAAAGCGAUCUUCCAUCUAUCUUUUGUUUUCCAUAGCUACCAGUUUCAUAAGCUUUUAGCAAAGAAAUGCCAACAGAGAAACACGUUUAUGCAAUUUGUCAUUUCAAUUAAUCCAUAUCUUACAGCUACAGACCUGGAAAGAUGAAGAGGCAACCGCAAGAAGGAGUAGGAGAGCCUUCCAGAUUCAUUAUGCUGCAUACAUGUUAAGUGGUGAUAUGUUUCUCCAUGCCCCAGUGGGAUACAUAGGAGUCACUGAAACCCAGAAUUUUCCAUCAGCAUUAGUAUGUGAUUGUGCGUAAAUGAUAUUCAUGCACCAACAGCCUUUCUUGUCAGAGAACAAAUAGACAAGGCAUUUGUUACUCGGAGACCUUCUGCUGACUAAAAACAACUGUAGUCAAUCAUAUUAAGGAUCUGGCAGUUUGUAGCACAGACUUUUCAUUUUAUAGACAGGUAGUUGAUGAAGAAAGUUUUAGGAAAGGCUUUGCAUACGAUUAUAAGAAAAAUGCUGUGUUAUUAAAACGUCAUCAUUAGCACUGUGUACAACAGGCAUUUGAUACAUAUAGAAAUGGCUGCUUGUUGCAACUGGUCCAAGCAAAGAAAAGGCUGGUGGUAGAAUGGAAGAUUGGAAAUGAGCUUUACGUGACUUUUUUGAACAGUGGGUGUUCUGUAUAAUUUUUCAGAUUAUUUACUCCCUGCCUCUAUGAAACGACCUCUUUGUAUUUGGUGAUUGUAUUUCUUGGGAGAUCCAGCAGUCCUGAGGACUUAAGGAAGAAGAAAUGAAAACCUGUGUGUGUGCUGGAGGCUUGAGCGGGUCAAUUACAGUUUGAAACAUGAGGGGUGUUUUUGACUGGAAUUUUCUUAACAUGUACUUGGAAUGCUGUAAGUAGCAGUACCUGGGUGAGAAAGCUGCUUUUAGCUAGAAUUUUGAAUGGCUUCCUUUUUGGACCAGUGAGGAAGUAUUUUCCUAUCUCUUUGUAUGUAAAAAGACACACAUAUGGAUUACUCCAGGUACUGAUGAGUUGGUGUUAGUAUUCCUUUGUGAGUUUAAUAUAGAAAACAGGUAUCAGAGUGCUCUUCUUGUGCCUUUCUCAUUCUGUUCAUAUUGAUGGGUAGGAGUAUGGUUGCACAUCACUGAAGAGUAAGCUGUAAGUUUUAGUGGACUCAAAUUCUGCUAUUAGCUCCAAGAUCACACGAACAAAACUUUAUCCACUUUUAUUUCUUUACAUCUUUGUAUCUCUUAUUCUUGCAAGUUGGGACAGAAAAAGAUUCCAAACUUAGAGAUUUUAUAUUUUGAAUCAUCUUUUGAGUUUGAUACUGUAGUAAAGGAUAAACAGCAAUAAUGGUUUUAAUACUGUGGCACGUGAUGGGCUCUCCUGCAAAGGUCCCAUUUGAAACACUAGCAGUACAAGGUGGGGGUAUUUCAGGGAGAAGGGGAAAUCCUGAGCCUUCUCCUCAUUCCUUUGCUGUGAGAAGCAGUCAUUCAAGGAGGACGUAGCUCCACUGCACACACGGUUCUCUGGAAAAAGUACAGCUGCUCCUUCUUAAUGGGUAUUACCUGGGCCACUGAUCACCUGUAGACUGCUUCAGCACUGGGAGCCUGGGCUCAUUGUGAAACUAACAAAUUGCCUCUGUGUCCCCAGCUGGUAGUGCUUUGCUGGUACCAGCACCUGCCUACAAUCAGCUUCUGGGUGGAGCUGGGCACUGGACGAGGGCUAUUUCCCCUUUGCUGCUGGGUCUGUGUGUGCUUGUGCCAUUAUUUGCUUGUAUGGUAUCAGAGGCGGUGGUGUUCUGAAAAGUAUUGCUUUUCAGAGUGUGUCUAGAAACAGGAGAGUGCUGAAAGCUGCUUGAAUGAGACGGAAAGCAAAGAAGAGCAAGAAAGAAAAAGUUCUUUUUGGCAUCGGACAGCAUUCACACGAAUGACCUGCUCUUUCUCCCUCCAAAAUUAUGGAUUUUGAUUAAUGAAAUGAGGAAGCCAGACUACUUUGUUUUCUACAUCACAUCUAUUAGUUGCUGCAGCCGCAAGGGGCAAGGAAGAUGAGGAGAGAAACAUGUCUCAAAUGGGGCAAGAAGCAGAUGGACAGAGGAAAAACAUGUUUUUCAGAAAUGAAACCAUUUCUGACCAUCUUCAAUACAGCAGAAACCCAGCAGGGCUGCAAGUGAAGAAAAGUCUCCCAGGACUCCUAUUCUUCAUUGGCUUCACCUGGGGAACAAUGGAGAUUUCCUAUGCUGAAGUAAUAUAGGCUCCCAAUGUUCUUCAAAUAUAAGAAUCUAGGCAUGACUUGAGAAGUAUUUUAUAGUAGCAUUACCUAUGGAUGAAUCCUUAUAUAUCUAUUUGUUUAUAAAUUUUCAGAUGUUGACCAAAUUGUUCAGAACUAGUAACUAGAAGUGAAAAGUUCAUCCCAAUAUAUCCUAAAUAAAAAGCUGGUUUUGGUGGUUCGUGUUAGAUGCAUAAUUUUGGUUCUUUCUGUUAUACGUAAUUAUUUCUUUGUUUCACAGAACAAGAAUACCUUUCUCCGGAGACCUUUCUCCAAUCUGCAGCAAAGAGAGUUUGGUGAUAGCACACGACUUUUCUAUUUUUUCUAGUGGCUACAUACUGUUGAAUAAGGUGGUAUUAGUGCUGAUUUAGGAGUUUAGCAUGAAAAAAAAUUCUGGAAUCAGUUGAGGGUGUUCAAAUGUAGGAACUGAAAGGUGCUGUGUUUCAUGUUUCUUUUUGUUAUUUUUGCAACUAGCAGCAGAGCUCUGGUAAGUGAUAGGACAAGAACAGCAGGAGAAAAGACAAACCAUGUGAAAA